RNAcentral lists this ribosomal RNA (161 nucleotides) under Ornithogalum sintenisii. RNAcentral's name for it is "5.8S ribosomal RNA". It matches the Rfam family "5.8S ribosomal RNA". Rfam says of the family: 5.8S ribosomal RNA (5.8S rRNA) is a component of the large subunit of the eukaryotic ribosome. The record is from RNAcentral. Lineage: Eukaryota; Viridiplantae; Streptophyta; Magnoliopsida; Asparagales; Asparagaceae.
UAAAUGACUCUCGGCAACAAAUAUCUUGGCUCUCGCAUCGAUGAAGAACAAAGCAAAAUGCGAUACUUGGUGUGAAUUGCAGAACCCCGCGAACCAUCGAGUCUUUGAACGCAAUUUGCGCCUAAGGAUAUCCGGCCGAGGGCACGUCUGCCUGGGCGUCA